RNAcentral lists this small RNA (327 nucleotides) under Histoplasma capsulatum. RNAcentral describes it as "hypothetical RNA". Lineage: Eukaryota; Fungi; Ascomycota; Eurotiomycetes; Onygenales; Ajellomycetaceae. The record is from RNAcentral. RNAcentral also lists the same sequence under 1 other name.
CUCUCUGCUUGAGUGGAACAGUAUUCAGAGGAAUGAAUGUAGACUUUUCUCAUCAUUUUCAUUCUCACUGAUGAAACCACUUUCAUAUCCACUGUCUGAGAAGAUAGCAUCUAGUGUGGAGAGAGUAUCUGGGAUGAACUCGGCAUUCCUCUUGUCAGGUUCACCCAAACAAGAGAGAGGCAUAACCCAAGGAGAGCCGGUAGCAAAGAGAGAAACAGGAAUCAAGUAAGCAAAGUCUGAGGUGCUUUCAUGGAUGAAACCAGCCUAAAAGUGCUGUGAGAGGCAGAAACAAAGAAAGCUGGAGACAACAUGAUCAGAAUGACAGAG